UGGUAAGUUAUUAACAGUGUUCAUCGCCUCACUUGUAAACAUUAAGUCGACCAAAAUGUGUUAAUUAAAAUACAAACUUGGAGGAUUUAAUACUUCACUACGUCACUAUACUGUGAUGUCACAUCUCAAGACCAAGUGUAACUAAGUAGAAGUUCACAAUGUCAAGCAGAGAUAAAAAGUUCUCCUGUGAGGAAUGUGGCAAACAGUUUGGCUUCAAGUCUACUCUUCAGAGACAUUUACUUGUACACAAUGGUGUGAAGGAGUUUGAAUGUGAGGAAUGUGGGAAAUGUUUCUCCCAGAAGAGUACUCUCAAG
Homarus americanus (American lobster) is the source of this 314-nucleotide long non-coding RNA. RefSeq lists it as uncharacterized. The transcript has 3 exons. The record is from RefSeq and is a predicted model, not a curated record. Lineage: Eukaryota; Metazoa; Arthropoda; Malacostraca; Decapoda; Nephropidae.